Molecule: ribosomal RNA, 468 nt
Filed under: uncultured bacterium
Lineage: Bacteria
Description: partial 16S ribosomal RNA
Rfam family: Bacterial small subunit ribosomal RNA
Source: RNAcentral
GACGAACGCUGGCGGCGUGCUUAACACAUGCAAGUCGAACGGAAAGGCCCUGCUUUUGUGGGGUGCUCGAGUGGCGAACGGGUGAGUAACACGUGAGUAACCUGCCCUUGACUUUGGGAUAACUUCAGGAAACUGGGGCUAAUACCGGAUAGGAGCUCCUGCUGCAUGGUGGGGGUUGGAAAGUUUCGGCGGUUGGGGAUGGACUCGCGGCUUAUCAGCUUGUUGGUGGGGUAGUGGCUUACCAAGGCUUUGACGGGUAGCCGGCCUGAGAGGGUGACCGGCCACAUUGGGCCUGAGAUACGGCCCAGACUCCUACGGGAGGCAGCAGUGGGGAAUAUUGCACAAUGGGCGGAAGCCUGAUGCAGCAACGCCGCGUGCGGGAUGACGGCCUUCGGGUUGUAAACCGCUUUCGCCUGUAACGAAGCGUGAGUGACGGUAAUGGGUAAAGAAGUACCGGCUAACUACGUG